UCUCUUCCACCUCUUCCUUCGCCGAAGCAACUAAAAAUCAAAAACAUACUCGCGGCUUCUUCCUCCCGAUUUCGGAGCUUCUCUCUCUUCCACUCUCUCUCUCUCUCUCUCUCUCUCUCUCUCUCUCCCCCCUCCAUCGAAGCACCUCCAUACACAGAGUUUUUGGGUAAUUUCAUGAUUUAGCGAUCCGUGCAUUUUCCAUAACCCUCUUUACGGAAGGGAUCCAAGGAUUGAAAAAGCAGGGAAAGCAGGGAAGAAGGUUG
Malus domestica (apple) is the source of this 263-nucleotide non-coding RNA. NCBI's taxonomy places the organism in Eukaryota, Viridiplantae, Streptophyta, Magnoliopsida, Rosales, Rosaceae. The record is from RefSeq and is a predicted model, not a curated record.